Molecule: ribosomal RNA, 459 nt
Filed under: uncultured bacterium
Lineage: Bacteria
Description: partial 16S ribosomal RNA
Rfam family: Bacterial small subunit ribosomal RNA
Source: RNAcentral
CCUACGGGAGACAGCAGUGAGGAAUAUUGGUCAAUGGGCGGAAGCCUGAACCCGCCAAGUAGCGUGCAGGAUGAAGGCCCUACGGGUUGUAAACUGCUUUUAUCCGGGAAUAACGCGCCUGACGUGUAGGGCUUUGCAUGUACCGUAUGAAUAAGGACCGGCUAAUUCCGUGCCAGCAGCCGCGGUAAUACGGAAGGUCCGGGCGUUAUCCGGAUUUAUUGGGUUUAAAGGGUUCAAAGGCGGAAGAUCAAGUCAGCGGUAAAAUUGAGAGGCUCAACCUCUUCGAGCCGUUGAAACUGGUUUUCUUGAGUGAGUGAGAAGUAUGCGGAAUGCGUGGUGUAGCGGUGAAAUGCAUAGAUAUCACGCAGAACUCCGAUUGCGAAGGCAGCAUACCGGCGCUCAACUGACGCUCAUGCACGAAAGUGUGGGUAUCGAACAGGAUUAGAUACCCUAGUAGUC